GAUGAACGCUGGCGGCGUGCCUAAUACAUGCAAGUCGAGCGAACGGACGAGAAGCUUGCUUCUCUGAUGUUAGCGGCGGACGGGUGAGUAACACGUGGAUAACCUACCUAUAAGACUGGGAUAACUUCGGGAAACCGGAGCUAAUACCGGAUAAUAUUUUGAACCGCAUGGUUCAAAAGUGAAAGACGGUCUUGCUGCCACUUAUAGAUGGAUCCGCUCUGCAUUAGCUAGUUGGUAAGGUAACGGCUUACCAAGGCAACGAUGCAUAGCCGACCUGAGAGGGUGAUCGGCCACACUGGAACUGAGACACGGUCCAGACUCCUACGGGAGGCAGCAGUAGGGAAUCUUCCGCAAUGGGCGAAAGCCUGACGGAGCAACGCCGCGUGAGUGAUGAAGGUCUUCGGAUCGUAAAACUCUGUUAUUAGGGAAGAACAUAUGUGUAAGUAACUGUGCACAUCUUGACGGUACCUAAUCAGAAAGCCACGGCUAACUACGUG
This 497-nucleotide ribosomal RNA is filed under the name uncultured bacterium. RNAcentral describes it as "partial 16S ribosomal RNA". It matches the Rfam family "Bacterial small subunit ribosomal RNA", at positions 28 to 507 of the family's 1533-position model. The record is from RNAcentral.